GACGAACGCUGGCGGCGCGCCUAACACAUGCAAGUCGAACGGAGUCUUUUGGGAGCUUGCUUUUGGAAGACUUAGUGGCGGACGGGUGAGUAACACGUGAGCAACCUGCCUCGGAGUGGGGGAUAACGUCUGGAAACGGACGCUAAUACCGCAUAACAUACCUGAGCGACAUCGCUCGGGUAUCAAAGGAGCAAUCCGCUUUGAGAUGGGCUCGCGCCCGAUUAGGUAGUUGGUAGGGUAACGGCCUACCAAGCCGACGAUCGGUAGCCGGACUGAGAGGUUGAACGGCCACAUUGGGACUGAGACACGGCCCAGACUCCUACGGGAGGCAGCAGUGGGGGAUAUUGCACAAUGGGGGAAACCCUGAUGCAGCGACGCCGCGUGAGUGAAGACGGCCUUCGGGUUGUAAAGCUCUGUCCUCGGGGACGAUAAUGACGGUACCCGAGAAGAAAGCCACGGCUAACUACGUGCCAGCCGCCGCGGUAACAC
This 489-nucleotide ribosomal RNA is filed under the name uncultured bacterium. RNAcentral's name for it is "bacterial SSU rRNA". It matches the Rfam family "Bacterial small subunit ribosomal RNA", at positions 28 to 526 of the family's 1533-position model. The record is from RNAcentral.